ACGGGUCCCACUUGGUCUAGUUUUGAUUAAACUUGGUGUCUAUCACUUUGUCAUAAUUUCACUCUCAUUAAAAAGUGCUUCAAAUUUGAUCAUCUGCCUUCAAUCCCAAAUAACAAUGUUCAAAUAUCACAGCUCAUUAUCCAGCAUUCUGCAAUUCCCCUAUUACAACACCCUUGAUUUCACUGAUUUUCUACCAACAAUGUCUGUCCUCUAAAUCUACUGGAAGCCCACAAAAGGUCAUGUUAGUUACAAGAAGGCGAAAGAGUAUACAAUUUCAAAAACUACUAAACCACUCUGCUUGGCAUGCAUCACAAAAGGUCAUAGUCAUCAUGUUGGUCUCCUCAGUGAAAUCAGGACCCACAAAACCAGAGUAGAAGCAAUUCUUAUAGCACCUAAGAAGCUAAUUUUCUUACAACAUGGAGGAAAAUGUACUAAUUCCAAGAACCAAACCAAAUGUGCAUAUUGCAACUGGUAUAAAGCAGCUAUACAAAAGUGAAGGUGACAAUGAUUGUCUCGACUCAAAGGGUAUCAUCCCAAAAUGUCACCCAUUCCUUCUAUCCUGAGAUGCUGUCUGUCCUGCUGAGUUACUCCAGCAUCUUGUAUUUAUCUUCAAUUAUUAUUUUAUCCAAGUAGCAAGUUCAAGAGAAAAGCAGUAUUGUUGCCAUUAGAUUCAUGCAUUUAGGAAGAAGUUAAAUGUUUUGCAGCAUUCAUUUUUAUGUAAUCCCGUGCUUAAACAAUUGUGAAGGAUGACCAAAGUGUUGAAAUGUGUCAAUGAUCUAACAGUAAUGCAGACAUCAUAUGAAUAAAAUAAAAAUAAAGGGAAUAUAAUAAACAUUGCCAUGUAUUUGGCCAGCUGUGGAGAUGAAAUGGAAGGCAGAGACCUGAAAUCAGACAUGCAGGAACCACAAAUUAACAAUUCUAGAUAAUUGUAAUUACCCAGUCCUGAGUUUAACACUGUUUUACUAAAUCAAAAAAGUGAACCUCAAGUUGGCAUUACAAAUUCUAUUUUUGCGCAUCAAUUAUAUUUUUUACCACCAAUCUUCCAAAUUCAAGCCUUCAAUGUGAUCCCUACAUGCAGUACUUGUCUAUGAUCACAAGGUAGCGGUGUAACAAGGUAGUUCCUGCUUUGUGAAACAACAGAGUGCUUCAAGUCAGAGUGUUGCCAAAAGACACAUAACAGGGUUUUAAAAACACUCUGAAAUAAGGAGAGGGAGGGAACAAGUUUUUGGGGAAAUUCCAUGGGUGUGCAUUUUGGCAAUUCAAGGAUAGAGAUCAGCACAGUAAUCUCAGGUUGUUGUUGGCGACUCAUUGGUUAUAGUAACAGGGAGGGAUACGACCACAAAGGAAUUGAAAACAAUGAAGGCAAUUUUAAGUGAAAAUCAACAAGAACUGCAGAUGAUGGUCAUCUAAAAUACAAACAGAAAACACCAGCCUUACUCAACAGCUCAUGUAACAUCGAUUGGACGAGAAACAGAAUUAACAUUUCAGGUCGAACAAACGCUUAUCUGAUAAAGUGUCUUCAACUUGGAUCAGACUCUUUCUCUUCCCACAGAUGAGACCUGACUUGCUGAAAAUUUUGUAGCACUCUGUUUUUAAUUAAGACAGUUUUAAAAAUAAUCAUAUUGCCUGACCUAGUUUCAUUACAGGUCCGUGAUAGACACAAAAUGUUGGAGUAACUCAGCAGGACAUGCAGCGUCUCUGGAGAGAAGGAAUGGGUGACGUUUCAGGAUGAGACCCUUCCUCAGACUCAUUACAGAAUUCUAUCAAGUUGUCAGAAAUGUUAUGAUGUUGAUUUCUCAGAUUACUCACAUGGGUUUCUAAAAAUGCUCUUGGCAAUGAAGACCUGCAUUGGGAAUUUACAACCAAAAUGUACUAUUUACCAUUUAUGCUUGACAAUUUAUAUGGCUGACAACAGCAAUAAACGUUUUAUGAUUUCAAUAAAAGCAUAUUAAUAUAACC
Molecule: long non-coding RNA, 1959 nt
Organism: Leucoraja erinaceus (little skate)
Lineage: Eukaryota; Metazoa; Chordata; Chondrichthyes; Rajiformes; Rajidae
Exons: 2
Source: RefSeq, a predicted model, not a curated record